CGUUUUACUAGAUUUUCUACAUCCCUAAUUUUUUCUCAAGCCGUCGGGUUCUCUUCUCUCUUCUUCAAACUCCUUGUAGAUGAAAUCUGGAAAAGCUUUAUGACUCAAACUUGAGAAAUCGAGACAAGGGUCCCAUCGUUGAUUCGAGUCCUUGACUUAUGUGAUCAGCGAUUUUAAUUAUUAAAUCUUGAAUCAAAGCUCCAUGUAGAUGGAGUAGGGAUCGUUGGUUUGAGACUAAGAGAGGAGGAUGAAGUUGUUUUAUGUCUUGUUUCUAAACGGUUUGCAGUUUUUUUUUUAAAUUUCAGACACAAGCUUUAUGUGAUUUCAGAUUCUCAGUGGUUUGUUGUAUUUCACUUUCUAAGUUUCAGAUUUAUGUACUUUCAGAUUUUAAAUAUGUAUUAGAUACACUGCAGAUUUUAAAUCAGGUUUAUUACA
Long non-coding RNA from Brassica oleracea var. oleracea, 435 nucleotides. RefSeq lists it as uncharacterized. The record is from RefSeq and is a predicted model, not a curated record. The transcript is spliced from 2 exons. Lineage: Eukaryota; Viridiplantae; Streptophyta; Magnoliopsida; Brassicales; Brassicaceae.